This 253-nucleotide ribosomal RNA is filed under the name uncultured bacterium. Its description in RNAcentral is "partial 16S ribosomal RNA". It matches the Rfam family "Bacterial small subunit ribosomal RNA", at positions 524 to 776 of the family's 1533-position model. The record is from RNAcentral.
UACGGGGGGAGCAAGCGUUGUUCGGAUUUACUGGGCGUAAAGAGCGCGCAGGCGGUCGAUUAAGUCGAAUGUGAAAGCCCCCGGCUUAACUGGGGAGGGUCAUUCGAUACUGAUCGACUUGAAGGCAGGAGAGGGAAGCAGAAUUCCCGGUGUAGUGGUGAAAUGCGUAGAUAUCGGGAGGAAUACCAGUGGCGAAGGCGGCUUCCUGGCCUGUUCUUGACGCUGAGGCGCGAAAGCUGGGGGAGCAAACGGG